GUGGGGAAUAUUGGACAAUGGGCGCAAGCCUGAUCCAGCCAUGCCGCGUGGGUGAAGAAGGCCUUCGGGUUGUAAAGCCCUUUUGUUGGGGAAGAAAUCGUACGGGUGAAUAUCCCGUGCGGAUGACGGUACCCAAAGAAUAAGCACCGGCUAACUUCGUGCCAGCAGCCGCGGUAAUACGAAGGGUGCAAGCGUUACUCGGAAUUACUGGGCGUAAAGCGUGCGUAGGCGGUUUGUUAAGUCCGUUGUGAAAGCCCUGGGCUCAACCUGGGAAUUGCAGUGGAUACUGGCAAGCUAGAGUACGGUAGAGGAUGGUGGAAUUCCCGGUGUAGCGGUGAAAUGCGUAGAGAUCGGGAGGAACACCCGUGGCGAAGGCGGCCAUCUGGACCAGUACUGACGCUGAGGCACGAAAGCGUGGGGAGCAAACAGGAUUAGAAACCCUUGUAGUCC
Molecule: ribosomal RNA, 450 nt
Filed under: uncultured bacterium
Lineage: Bacteria
Description: bacterial SSU rRNA
Rfam family: Bacterial small subunit ribosomal RNA
Source: RNAcentral